Molecule: ribosomal RNA, 301 nt
Filed under: uncultured bacterium
Lineage: Bacteria
Description: partial 16S ribosomal RNA
Rfam family: Bacterial small subunit ribosomal RNA
Source: RNAcentral
CAGUCGCCGCGGGAAUAUGGAGGGGGCUAGCGUUGUUCGGAAUUACUGGGCGUAGAGCGUACGUAGGCGGCUUUGUAAGUUAGAGGUGAAAGCCCAGGGCUUAACUCUGGAACUGCCUUUAAGACUGCAAGGCUUGGACGUCGGAGAGGUGAGUGGAAUUCCGAGUGUAGAGGUGAAAUUCGUAGAUAUUCGGAAGAACACCAGUGGCGAAGGCGGCUCACUGGACGACUGUUGACGCUGAGGUACGAAAGCGUGGGGAGCAAACAGGAUUAGAUACCCCCGUAGUCCCUGUCUCUUAUAC